CUUGAACCUUCCCGCUGCUGUCACCCAGGCAGUAGCCUCUUUGGCGUCUGGUGGCUGGAGGCCUCCCGUGGUCUGGAGGGACCACUUAAGCCCACCUACUCCCGCCUCCACCUGCAGGGUCCUCCCCUCCCCCACCACUCACUGCCCCGCGCAGAGCGUAGAGAGCCACACUGCGCAUGCUCCUCAGGGGAGGGCUGCCUGCAGCGCGACGCGGGCGGGCGGGUGGUGGGGAUUCCAUUCAAGGGACACCUCGGUAGCAGCCACCUGGCCACGACAGCGUCCGCGUCCCAGACUCUGCCCGACUCCGGGCUCGUCCGAACUCGGGCAUAACCUAGAAAGCCAUCUUCGCAUUCCCAGAAUGACUUCCCCAGCUGAGGAAUUCGGCGUUCAGGGUUGCGGCUUUCUUCUGUGCUUUUAUGAGAGCCCCCGCUCAAGGCAUCUUCUACAAUUUGUUGAGUUGGAAGAGAAACAAGGCAAAUGGCAGGAAAAUCAAAUGAGAUCAUGACUUCACCAGAGCAAAACCGAGAUCCCUCGCCCCCAGUGAAAGCAAACAAAAGCUGGAAGAGAACGAGUUCGACCUGAUCUCCUCCGCCUUCUCCACCCCCAUCUCCAGGCCCAGACCCGGAGACGCCGGGGUUCAGAGGGGAGACUCAGAGUCCCAGAGCGCCCUCCACCCCGAGAAAGACCCAGAGCUGCCCUUGGGAUUCCAGGACAAGGAACCAGAGGAGUGUCCUCUAAGGAGGCUGCUGGGCGGGAUCACGAUAAGCGUCCAGGGACCGUGCCCUCCAGCUCCGCUGCUCCACCCAUGGCCAUCUGGGACUUGCUGGGACCAACAAAUUGAGGCAGACGUGGUGGCCCUCCAGCUUCGGAACCAUCGUUCACCCUGCAUCUGUCUUUGCUUUCACGUUCUUGGAAUCUCAAGACCUCAGAGGGUGAAGAGGGGGCCAGCCUCCUAGAAGAUGGACGGGAGCCAUGGCACCUGAGCCGGAGCCAGACUGCUGCUGGCCACGCGAGGGCAGCCAUCUGGACCCUCCAGCCCUCGUCGAGUGGUCAGGUGACCACGGUCACACGCAUGAGCCCAGGAGAGGCCAGCAGAACCACCCAGUGUGCCAGUAAGACACGACCAGCUGGCCCUUUCCUGGAGCCAUCAAGGCUUGGGUGGUUUGUUACACAGCAGCUAGAGCUCCAAUCAUUGUUAACACAGUGAAAGCGGAGGCUCGGCCUUGAAACCACAGCCGUAAAGAGGAUUCCAGCAUGACACAGGGAUGACAGCACUUUCUGGAGGCUUUGCCCGAACACCCCUACUGCGUCCUUAGCACAUUCAUUAGGAUUCCGGGAGCCCAACCCUGCUUUGGCUUUUCGCUUGCACGUUAAAUAUUUGACCACCAUUUCCCACCUGAAAGAAAGAGCUACCUUUAGCACUGGGGACACAGAUACAUUUGGCACAAUAAUGUCUUCUAAGAACUCUCAGGACAACAAAGGAGGUAGACAAGAACCUUAUUGUAUUCGCUCAGCAAAUAUCUGUGUCCCAGGCACUAUGCAGAGGGCUGGGAAUACAAUGAUAGGAAAGCCACAAAUCCAGACUCACAGGGUCGGAGCCUGGCCCUGAAGGGGACGCUGCUGAAAAGAAAAUGCAUUAACGGAUAAUGGCAAACAGUGCUAAAUGCUGUGAAGCAGCAGCCCAGAUGGCUCUGGAAGAGAAUUAGUCUGGUGAGAGGAGGCCAGAAAGGUUUUACUGGAGGAAGAGCAUUUCGCACAAAGACUCAAAAGAGCAGAUGAAGUGCCUGGCCAAAGCGGAGGGGAAGAAGGUUCCAGGCCCGAGGGAAUAUGGCGGUGGCCCUCACCAGGAGCAGUUAGGUUAACCUAGAACCCAACUCUAUUGUACCUUUAGACACAGAGUGGCUUUUGCCUGGUUUUACCAUACAUUGAAUUUUCCUGGAAUGCAAGGACCAUGCCAGUUGAGAGAAGGCUGAGGUGGAUUUGCUUGGGGAUUCACACUGGUCACCCUCCUGGAGGGAGAGCACUGGCAGCAACUCCACUCCACGUGCUGGCGGCACAUGAGCGGUCAACACCCCACACCUAGACCUGCCCGCACGUGGAGCGGUCCCUCUCACCUGUUUCUACCUGUUCUGCUCAAGCACCUGCCUCCUUCAUUGGGACUUGCAGCAUUAUAAUAUAUAUGGUUUUAUUAUACAUUCCACUUAUUCUUCCUUAUUUGAGAGUUUCAGAAUGACAUGUGUAUGUUUUCAAUCCAAUGAGUAGGUAGGUUAUAUUAUUUAUGAGGUUCAUUUUGGGGUAGACAAAGCAGCCCUGGAUCUGAUGAGGUUAAAACCACAGGUUAAGACCUGCCUUUCGCUGUGGGACAGGGAGUUGGGCUGGUGUAAGAACUACCAGGAGGAAGGGGGUUGGAGCCCAGAGACCUGGGAGCAGGGUGGGACCAGAUGAGGCUGGCAGAGGACUGGGGACAUCACAACCCUCGACUCUGCCGGAGGGGAUGCGAAAAGGUACCAUCUGGUGGUACCUCCGAGGUGCAACAUGGAACAUCACCCGAAACAGCCAGUCCGUUCCUAGGCAAGACCCAAGAGAAGUGGAAACAUGUCCUGAACACAGAUGUUCACAGCAGCACUAUUCGUAUGAGCCCAAAAGAAGAAACAACUAAAAUGCCCAUCAACUAGUGAAUGCAUGAACCAAAGAGUAGGUUCUUCAUAUAAUGGAAUAUUAUUCAGCCACAGAAAGGAAUGAACUACUGAUACAUACUGUGAUAUGGACGAACCGUGAAAACGCUCUGCUGAGUGAAAGAAGCCAGACGCAAAAGGCCACAGAGUAUGCAGUUCAGUUUACAUGAAAUGUCCAGAAGAGGCAAAUCCACAGAAGCAGAAAGAAGAUUUGGGGUUGCCAGAGGCUGGGGCUGAGGAGGUGAUGGAAAGUGACUGACAGCGGGUCUGGAGUUUCCUUGGCGGGCGAUGGAAAUAUUUUGGACUUAAAGAGUGGUGAGAAUGGUGCGACUUUGUUAAUAUUGUAAGUAAAACAACAUCAACAGUGAUAAAGACUGGAUGGUAUGCCUUAAAGGGGUGACUUUUAAUGGCAUUUGAGUUAGAUCUCAAAUAAAACCAACAGAGGACGCUGAAGAGAUAGACAGGGUCACCGCAUUGGAGGCAUCACGGCCCUAGUCGAAGAGUUUGAUUCUCAACCUCGGACUGGUGGGAGCCACUGACGGUUUUAGGCAUCACGGUGACAAUAUAGUUUUGCAGUUGAGAAAGAUCUCUGUGUAGAGUGGACUAGAGAUGGGCCGCUUCGAAGGCCACAAAAAGCCAGGUAUCUGGAGCCACACCUGGCUUCAGGCUUGAGCAGAAACAGCCCUCAGAGACGCACCCUGCAAUGCGGUUUCACCAGCCAUCUGGGCAACCCGUCGUGCAUUAAGCUUACCACCACCCUGACGCCCGCACGCAGCUCCUUCAACCGCAUUUCCUCGCCUCGUGGAGACAACAGCCGGGUCUUAACGCCCCCUGACACGGAACCACCGUCCCGCCUCCACCAGAAAACGCCCUGAUCUGACCCCAGCCGCAGAGAUCUGACCCCUCCCGUUUCUCACAGCCUCCCCGCGAGGCUUUAGCGCUUCUCCACGGGAGACCGAGGUUCACAGGGAUCUCACGGACUUGACCCAGAAGUCCCACAGCCACACAAGGGCUGGCUGGCUUCUCAUCUCAGGUCUAUUUGAACACAACCACUGCACAAGGUGGGUUCAGGCCAACUCGUAGCGUGAGGACUUUAUUUCACAGUCAGUAAAGUCGUUCCUUCUCUUCCUGCACCAUAAAACUCCUAAA
RNAcentral lists this long non-coding RNA (3824 nucleotides) under Sus scrofa (pig). RNAcentral's name for it is "lncRNA (ENSSSCG00050060188.1)". Lineage: Eukaryota; Metazoa; Chordata; Mammalia; Artiodactyla; Suidae. The record is from RNAcentral.